RNAcentral lists this transfer RNA (76 nucleotides) under Pseudomonadota bacterium. RNAcentral describes it as "tRNA-Ile". It matches the Rfam family "tRNA". From Rfam's summary of the family: Transfer RNA (tRNA) molecules are approximately 80 nucleotides in length. Their secondary structure includes four short double-helical elements and three loops (D, anti-codon, and T loops). Lineage: Bacteria; Pseudomonadati; Pseudomonadota. The record is from RNAcentral. RNAcentral also lists the same sequence under 5 other names.
GCCCUUGUAGCUCAACGGUUAGAGCAGCGGACUCAUAAUCCGUUGGUUGUAGGUUCGAAUCCUACCGAGGGCACCA